Molecule: ribosomal RNA, 233 nt
Filed under: uncultured bacterium
Lineage: Bacteria
Description: partial 16S ribosomal RNA
Rfam family: Bacterial small subunit ribosomal RNA
Source: RNAcentral
UCGGAUUUACUGGGCGUAAAGGGCGCGUAGGCGGCCACCGCAAGUCGACUGUGAAAUCUCCGGGCUUAACCCGGAAAGGUCAGCCGAUACUGCGGGGCUAGAGUGCAGAAGGGGCAACUGGAAUUCUCGGUGUAGCGGUGAAAUGCGUAGAUAUCGAGAGGAACACCUGCGGCGAAGGCGGGUUGCUGGGCUGACACUGACGCUGAUGUGCGAAAGCUAGGGGAGCGAACGGG